CCUUUGAGUUUCAUAACUCACAUGUUAUAAUAAGGGGGGUUAUGGUUCUCACAAGAAUGCAAGACAUUCUCUUCUUCUUCCUCCCAUUGAGAGAGAGAGAGCAAAAACUUGUUCUUGCAUAUCAAGUGGAAAACCAAUCCUCACAUUUGUCUUGGAUAUCAAGUGAAAGCCAAAACUUCAAGACAAUCUUCAAGAAGGAUCAAGGAGCUUCCAAAGGCGAACCUUGAACAAUCUUCAAGAAGGAUUAAGGAGCUUCCACUUAUGGAUUCAGGUACGCUUCCGCUUAUGUUGUUGUUCCGAGUAAUUCGAUAUGAAGG
Molecule: long non-coding RNA, 317 nt
Filed under: Nicotiana benthamiana
Lineage: Eukaryota; Viridiplantae; Streptophyta; Magnoliopsida; Solanales; Solanaceae
Description: long non-coding RNA (NBEN_LNC020361)
Source: RNAcentral